GAACUGAAGAGUUUGAUCAUGGCUCAGAUUGAACGCUGGCGGCAGGCCUAACACAUGCAAGUCGAGCGGAUGAA
This 74-nucleotide ribosomal RNA is filed under the name Pseudomonas aeruginosa. RNAcentral describes it as "partial 16S ribosomal RNA". It matches the Rfam family "Bacterial small subunit ribosomal RNA", at positions 1 to 74 of the family's 1533-position model. Lineage: Bacteria; Pseudomonadati; Pseudomonadota; Gammaproteobacteria; Pseudomonadales; Pseudomonadaceae. RNAcentral also lists the same sequence under 1 other name. The record is from RNAcentral.